UGUUAUCACUCCUACUACUGAAGAACCAGCAGCUGAAGUUGCGGAUGAACCAAAGGAAGCUGUUGUGGCUUCUGAGGAAGAAGUACCUAAGGCUGAGGUCGAGGAAACCGUAGUUGAAGCUGAGGCAAAGGAUGUGAAGGUAGAGGAGCCCAAGGAAGUUGCAGCAGUCGAAAAAGAAGAAGAACCAACUGUGGAGAAGACUACAACUGAAGAGGAAACUACUACACCUAAUAAGGUAGCACCUGAGCCAGAGCCAGAACCAGUACUUGAGGAGGAGGCCAAGGACAAGGAGGAUACUGCUGAUGACUCUG
RNAcentral lists this long non-coding RNA (311 nucleotides) under Malus domestica (apple). RNAcentral's name for it is "long non-coding RNA (MDOM_LNC017296)". Lineage: Eukaryota; Viridiplantae; Streptophyta; Magnoliopsida; Rosales; Rosaceae. The record is from RNAcentral.